GGGCCCUCUGGGUCCAACCUCCCACCCGUGUUUAUCGUACCUUGUUGCUUCGGCGGGCCCGCCUCACGGCCGCCGGGGGGCAUCCGCCCCCGGGCCCGCGCCCGCCGAAGACACACAAACGAACUCUUGUCUGAAGAUUGCAGUCUGAGUACUUGACUAAAUCAGUUAAAACUUUCAACAACGGAUCUCUUGGUUCCGGCAUCGAUGAAGAACGCAGCGAAAUGCGAUAAGUAAUGUGAAUUGCAGAAUUCAGUGAAUCAUCGAGUCUUUGAACGCACAUUGCGCCCCCUGGUAUUCCGGGGGGCAUGCCUGUCCGAGCGUCAUUGCUGCCCUCAAGCACGGCUUGUGUGUUGGGCUCUCGCCCCCCGCUUCCGGGGGGCGGGCCCGAAAGGCAGCGGCGGCACCGCGUCCGGUCCUCGAGCGUAUGGGGCUUCGUCACCCGCUCUGUAGGCCCGGCCGGCGCCCGCCGGCGAACACCAUCAAUCUUAACCAGGUUGACCUCGGAUCAGGUAGGGAUACCACGCUGAACUUAAGCAUAUCAAUAAGCGGAGGAAAAGAAACCAACAGGGAUUGCCUCAGUAACUG
Molecule: ribosomal RNA, 585 nt
Filed under: Penicillium sp. BAB-3300
Lineage: Eukaryota; Fungi; Ascomycota; Eurotiomycetes; Eurotiales; Aspergillaceae
Description: eukaryotic LSU rRNA
Rfam family: 5.8S ribosomal RNA (bases 170-323)
Source: RNAcentral